This 253-nucleotide ribosomal RNA is filed under the name uncultured bacterium. RNAcentral's name for it is "partial 16S ribosomal RNA". It matches the Rfam family "Bacterial small subunit ribosomal RNA", at positions 524 to 776 of the family's 1533-position model. The record is from RNAcentral.
GACGAACUGUGCAAACGUUAUUCGGAAUCACUGGGCUUGAAGAGUGCGUAGGCGGUUUCGUAAGUAGGGCGUGAAAGCCCCCGGCUCAACCGGGGAAUUGCGUCCUAAACUGCGAGGAUGGAGUGAGGUAGGGGUGUGUGGAACUUCCAGUGGAGCGGUGAAAUGUGUUGAUAUUGGAAGGAACGGCGGUGGCGAAAGCGACACACUGGACCUUGUCUGACGCUGAGGCACGAAAGACAGGGGAGCAAACGGG